UGGGGAAUAUUGGACAAUGGGCGAAAGCCUGAUCCAGCCAUGCCGCGUGUGUGAAGAAGGUCUUCGGAUUGUAAAGCACUUUAAGUUGGGAGGAAGGGCAGUAAGCUAAUACCUUGCUGUUUUGACGUUACCGACAGAAUAAGCACCGGCUAACUCUGUGCCAGCAGCCGCGGUAAUACAGAGGGGGCAAGCGUUAAUCGGAAUUACUGGGCGUAAAGCGCGCGUAGGUGGUUUGUUAAGUUGGAUGUGAAAGCCCCGGGCUCAACCUGGGAACUGCAUCCAAAACUGGCAGGCUAGAGUACGGUAGAGGGUGGUGGAAUUUCCUGUGUAGCGGUGAAAUGCGUAGAUAUAGGAAGGAACACCAGUGGCGAAGGCGACCACCUGGACUGAUACUGACACUGAGGUGCGAAAGCGUGGGGAGCAAACA
RNAcentral lists this ribosomal RNA (427 nucleotides) under uncultured bacterium. RNAcentral describes it as "partial 16S ribosomal RNA". It matches the Rfam family "Bacterial small subunit ribosomal RNA", at positions 355 to 774 of the family's 1533-position model. The record is from RNAcentral.